This 252-nucleotide ribosomal RNA is filed under the name uncultured bacterium. RNAcentral's name for it is "partial 16S ribosomal RNA". It matches the Rfam family "Bacterial small subunit ribosomal RNA", at positions 524 to 776 of the family's 1533-position model. The record is from RNAcentral.
UACGUAGGGUGCGAGCGUUGUCCGGAAUUAUUGGGCGUAAAGAGCUCGUAGGCGGUCUGUCGCGUCUGCUGUGAAAUCCCGAGGCUCAACCUCGGGCCUGCAGUGGGUACGGGCAGACUAGAGUGCGGUAGGGGAGAUUGGAAUUUACGGUGUAGCAGUGAAAUGCGUAGAUAUCGUAAGGAAGACAGUGGCGAAGGCGGAUCUCUGGACAGCUACUGACACUGAGGCACGAAGGCCAGGGGAGCAAACGGG